GUAACAUCUGGAAACAGGUGCUAAUACCGCAUAACAACGAAAACCACAUGGUUUCGUUUCAAAGAUGGUUUCGGCUAUCACUUCAGGAUGGGCCCGCGGUGCAUUAGCUAGUUGGUAAGGUAACGGCUUACCAAGGCAAUGAUGCAUAGCCGAGUUGAGAGACUGAUCGGCCACAAUGGAACUGAGACACGGUCCAUACUCCUACGGGAGGCAGCAGGU
Molecule: ribosomal RNA, 219 nt
Filed under: uncultured Lactobacillus sp.
Lineage: Bacteria; Bacillati; Bacillota; Bacilli; Lactobacillales; Lactobacillaceae
Description: partial 16S ribosomal RNA
Rfam family: Bacterial small subunit ribosomal RNA
Source: RNAcentral